This is a long non-coding RNA of Myotis davidii, 491 nucleotides long. RefSeq lists it as uncharacterized. NCBI's taxonomy places the organism in Eukaryota, Metazoa, Chordata, Mammalia, Chiroptera, Vespertilionidae. The record is from RefSeq and is a predicted model, not a curated record. The transcript has 3 exons.
GGUUCAUCCAUAGCUGUGCUGGUGCAGCACAGAGAAGGUCUGUCUACGCAAUGAACCUACUCAAGACUUCACCGACUGGCGAGGUGAUGAAAACAAGAAUCUUCAGUCCCUGCUGUCCCUAAGGCCCUACCUCAGUUCCUCCAAGAUAACUCCGCAUACAGGACACUCUUUACUCUCCCGAAUGUCAUCUAGCAAGCCCCGGCAUACCUGUCUGGAACUGAGCAUCCGGAACCACUUGUGUGCAUCACAUGCAAUUUCCAGCUGUUGUGGGAAAGCAAUGAAUGAAGAGAAAGUACUAGGCCCUGACAAGGCUUAGCAUCUAGGGGAGAAGAGGGAGAAGUAGGGAGAAGAUCCUAAAGGUCAAAUGCAAUGUCUCCCAUUGUUCAUGUACCUUUUCAAAAAGAGACAAUUCCAUUUGAUCCACUAAUACAGUGGUUCUCAAUCUUCCUAAUGCCGAGACCCUUUAAUACAGUUCUUCAUCUUGUGGUGAC